GACGAACGCUGGCGGCGUGCCUAAUACAUGCAAGUAGAACGCACAGUUUAUACCGUAGCUUGCUACACCAUAGACUGUGAGUUGCGAACGGGUGAGUAACGCGUAGGUAACCUGCCUGGUAGCGGGGGAUAACUAUUGGAAACGAUAGCUAAUACCGCAUAAUAUUAAUUAUUGCAUGAUAAUUAAUUGAAAGGUGCAAUUGCACCACUACCAGAUGGACCUGCGUUGUAUUAGCUAGUAGGUGAGGUAACGGCUCACCUAGGCGACGAUACAUAGCCGACCGGGGAGGGUGGUCGGCCACACUGGGAGUGAGACACGGCCCAGACUCCUACGGGAGGCAGCAGUAGGGAAGCUUCGGCAAUGGACGAAAGUCUGACCGAGCAACGCCGCGUGAGUGAAGAAGGUUGUCGGAUCGUAAAGCUCUGUUGUAAGAGAAGAACGGGUGUGAGGGUGGAAAGUUCACACUGUGACGGUAUCUUACCAGAAAGGGACGGCUAACUACGUG
This 505-nucleotide ribosomal RNA is filed under the name uncultured bacterium. Its description in RNAcentral is "partial 16S ribosomal RNA". It matches the Rfam family "Bacterial small subunit ribosomal RNA", at positions 28 to 507 of the family's 1533-position model. The record is from RNAcentral.